This 657-nucleotide long non-coding RNA is filed under the name Homo sapiens (human). Its description in RNAcentral is "LHRI_LNC187.3". The stretch from base 1 to 217 matches the Rfam family "Small nucleolar RNA U3". Lineage: Eukaryota; Metazoa; Chordata; Mammalia; Primates; Hominidae. The record is from RNAcentral.
AAGACUAUACUUUCAGGGAUCAUUUCUAUAGUGUGUUACUAGAGAAGUUUCUCUGAACGUGUAGAGCACCGAAAACCACGAGGAAGAGAGGUAGCGUUUUCUCCUGAGCGUGAAGCCGGCUUUCUGGCGUUGCUUGGCUGCAACUGCCGUCAGCCAUUGAUGAUCGUUCUUCUCUCCGUAUUGGGGAGUGAGAGGGAGAGAACGCGGUCUGAGUGGUUUUUCCUUCUUGAUGGCUCAAUGACAGAGACUAGCUCGUAAACUCCGGGGCGUUUCUGGGCUGUUCGCUCCUGCUUGGCAGUGUAGCGAGAAAGGUUUUCGCCUCCUGUUUCAGCGGUGACGGCUCUUGGGUUUUCUCGGGGUGGCUUUUUAAUUUUAGUCUUGGCGCGAGGCGGGGGAUGCUGUGUGGCACCUCCUAUUGUCUCUUUUUGCGUUUUCUCCCAUUCUCGCUCCCUCUUUUGUCGCCGUUUCCCGCCCGCCACUCCCACCCCCAGACGGGGUCUCCGGGUCUCUUGUUCUGUCUGCCGCCCCGGCUGGAGUGCAGUGGCGCGAUCUCGGCUCCUAGCAACAUCUGCCUCCCGGGCUCAAGCGAGUCUCCCGCCUAAGCCCUCCCGAGUAGCCGGGGCUUAAAGGCGCACACGCCACUCCAGGCUUUUUUUU